GAGAGAAUAACACACUGCAGCAACGAGAAUACGUCUGGGACAUCUUCUAACAUCUGCCUGCAUUUCUCUGACCUUCCCCUCAGUGCUCUAGGACUAGGACUUUCUCUCUUUCUCCACGUCUCCCUUUGCUUCUCUCUUUCUCUCCUUCAAUGGACAGAGUUUGAUGUUCUAUCAGACUUGAAGUGUAGCUGACUUGGAAAUGGAUGGGCAAGAAAAUGAUCUCACUGUAGAUUUAAGAUUUUCUUCACUUUAUUUCAUCUUAUUUGAAUUCUGAACACUUUUUCUUUUAUGGCGGUACCUUAUUUUCUGAAUUCUAAUUUUACUUCCAUUUGUAGACUUUUUCAGUCCAUCAACAACAUCAGGUUAUCUCCUUUUCAUUGCUUGUCUUCCUGUUUUUCCUGCCAACUUCCACAGAUGUACUUUUUUUUUACUAUUUGUUUCUCCCUUUUAUUAAAGUCUUUUCAUUGUUGCCUUUGCUUCCCCAACAUAUGUUUCUCCCAAGUGCCCCUGUGCUCACUCAAGUAUUUUGCUGAUGUUGCAUGUGUUUCCUACCAAUAUUGGGCAUAGCUAUCAGCACAACUUGAUCUUUUGUUUCUAACCAAGAUCUCCAAGAUGUGUCAAUGUUACACAAUAUAUACAGUAUUUCUGUGGAGAAUAUUGAUAAACACUUCCUGACUGCUG
Micropterus salmoides (largemouth bass) is the source of this 681-nucleotide long non-coding RNA. RefSeq lists it as uncharacterized. Lineage: Eukaryota; Metazoa; Chordata; Actinopteri; Centrarchiformes; Centrarchidae. The record is from RefSeq and is a predicted model, not a curated record. The transcript is spliced from 2 exons.